This 300-nucleotide ribosomal RNA is filed under the name Triticum aestivum (bread wheat). RNAcentral describes it as "partial small subunit ribosomal RNA". The record is from RNAcentral. Lineage: Eukaryota; Viridiplantae; Streptophyta; Magnoliopsida; Poales; Poaceae.
AUGUGCAUUCUCAGCCCUUUGAAUUCUGCAGCUUCAUCCCUUGCCAGUGGUGAUCGAUACAAUGCAUGCGAUCAAAUAACCCGAGGAAAUUUAUUCAGCGCGAAUUCUCCAAAACAUCGGGCUAGCCCCUUCAGACCUCGGUCGGUGGAUCGGGAAGCAGACAUUGGAUAUUGCACGGAAGAGUGGACACAACCAGCCAGCAAGCAAGAACACAGCUACUUUUUUGAAAAUGUUGCUGGUUGUUUGCUGAAUUUUACACGUAUGUGUGUCGACCCAAUGCAAUCACAACUUGUCUACUAG